This 132-nucleotide small nucleolar RNA is filed under the name Podarcis muralis (Common wall lizard). The record is from RNAcentral. Lineage: Eukaryota; Metazoa; Chordata; Lepidosauria; Squamata; Lacertidae. RNAcentral also lists the same sequence under 1 other name.
AUGCACAUGUCAUUGACCUGUUUCCUUUACAGUGGUAAGCAGUGUUAUUUCUGAUGUGCUAAAGGAACAGUUGAAGGCUAAUUAGCAGCUUUACUCCGUUGAGAGACUGCUGCCAGUCUCCUUCACACAUAG